Molecule: ribosomal RNA, 92 nt
Filed under: Amolops mantzorum (Kangting sucker frog)
Lineage: Eukaryota; Metazoa; Chordata; Amphibia; Anura; Ranidae
Source: RNAcentral
UCCCGAUCUCGUCCGAUCUCGGAGGCUAAGCAGGGUCGGGCCUGGUUAGUACCUGGAUGGGAGACCGCCUGGGAAUACCAGGUGCUGUAGGC